RNAcentral lists this ribosomal RNA (443 nucleotides) under uncultured bacterium. RNAcentral describes it as "partial 16S ribosomal RNA". It matches the Rfam family "Bacterial small subunit ribosomal RNA", at positions 338 to 795 of the family's 1533-position model. The record is from RNAcentral.
CCUACGGGAGGCUGCAGUGGGGGAUAUUGGACAAUGGGGGGAACCCUGAUCCAGCGACGCCGCGUGAGUGAAGAAGUAUUUCGGUAUGUAAAGCUCUGUCAGCAGGGAAGAAAGAAAUGACGGUACCUGACCAAGAAGCCCCGGCUAACUACGUGCCAGCAGCCGCGGUAAUACGUAGGGGGCAAGCGUUAUCCGGAAUUACUGGGUGUAAAGGGAGCGUAGACGGUUAAGUAAGUCUGGAGUGAAAGGCCGGGGCCCAACCCCGGGACUGCUCUGGAAACUAUUGAACUUGAGUGCAGGGGAGGUAAGCGGAAUUCCUAGUGUAGCGGUGAAAUGCGUAGAUAUUAGGAGGAACACCAGUGGCGAAGGCGGCUUACUGGACUGUAACUGACGUUGAGGCUCGAAAGCGUGGGGAGCAAACAGGAUUAGAUACCCUAGUAGUC